Molecule: ribosomal RNA, 83 nt
Filed under: Glomus sp.
Lineage: Eukaryota; Fungi; Glomeromycota; Glomeromycetes; Glomerales; Glomeraceae
Description: partial large subunit ribosomal RNA
Source: RNAcentral
UUGAAGUGUUAUAGCCUCUGGUAGAUGUGGUGACUGGAACUGAGGAUUGCAACAAAUAUCCUUUGAGCUAUCCGUCUGAUCUC